GUGGGGAAUAUUGGGCAAUGGGGGAAACCCUGACCCAGCAACGCCGCGUGAAGGAAGAAGGUUUUCGGAUCGUAAACUUCUAUCCUUGGUGAAGAUAAUGACGGUAGCCAAGAAGGAAGCCCCGGCUAACUACGUGCCAGCAGCCGCGGUAAUACGUAGGGGGCAAGCGUUGUCCGGAAUGAUUGGGCGUAAAGGGCGCGUAGGCGGCCUGGUAAGUCUGGAGUGAAAGUCCUGCUUUUAAGGUGGGAAUUGCUUUGGAUACUGUCGGGCUUGAGUGCAGGAGAGGUAAGCGGAAUUCCCGGUGUAGCGGUGACAUGCGUAGAGAUCGGGAGGAACACCAGUGGCGAAGGCGGCUUACUGGACUGUAACUGACGCUGAGGCGCGAAAGUGUGGGGAGCAAACAGGAUUAGAUACCCCAGUAGUCC
This 425-nucleotide ribosomal RNA is filed under the name uncultured bacterium. RNAcentral describes it as "partial 16S ribosomal RNA". It matches the Rfam family "Bacterial small subunit ribosomal RNA", at positions 354 to 796 of the family's 1533-position model. The record is from RNAcentral.